Molecule: ribosomal RNA, 356 nt
Filed under: uncultured bacterium
Lineage: Bacteria
Description: bacterial SSU rRNA
Rfam family: Bacterial small subunit ribosomal RNA
Source: RNAcentral
GGGCCCGCACAAGCGGUGGACAUGUGGUUUAAUUCGAUGAUACGCGAGGAACCUUACCAGGGCUUAAAUGUAGUGGGACAGGUCUAGAGAUAGACCCUUCUUCGGACUCAUUACAAGGUGCUGCAUGGUUGUCGUCAGCUCGUGCCGUGAGUGUCAGGUUAAGCUCCUAUAACGAGCGCAACCCCCAUCGUUAGUUGCCAGCGAGUAAUGUCGGGAACUCUAACGAAACUGCCAGUGCAAACUGUGAGGAAGGUGGGGGAUGACGUCAAAUCAUCACGGCCCUUACGUCCUGGGCUACACACGUGCUACAAAUGGCCGGUCACAGUAGAGCAAGCCACUUCGCAAGAAGGAGACCG